RNAcentral lists this ribosomal RNA (253 nucleotides) under uncultured bacterium. RNAcentral describes it as "partial 16S ribosomal RNA". It matches the Rfam family "Bacterial small subunit ribosomal RNA", at positions 524 to 776 of the family's 1533-position model. The record is from RNAcentral.
UACGGAAGGGGCUAGCGUUGUUCGGAAUUACUGGGCGUAAAGCGCGUGUAGGCGGCCUAUUAUGUCAGGUGUGAAAGCCCUCGGCCUAACCGAGGAAGUGCGCCUGAAACUGCUAGGCUUGAGUACGAGAGAGGAGGACGGAAUUCCCAGUGUAGAGGUGAAAUUCGUAGAUAUUGGGAGGAACACCGGCGGCGAAAGCGGUUCUCUGGAUCGAUACUGACGCUAAGACGCGAAGGCGUGGGGAGCAAACAGG